Molecule: ribosomal RNA, 253 nt
Filed under: uncultured bacterium
Lineage: Bacteria
Description: partial 16S ribosomal RNA
Rfam family: Bacterial small subunit ribosomal RNA
Source: RNAcentral
UACGGGGGGAGCAAACGUUGUUCGGAAUUACUGGGCGUAAAGGGCGCGUAGGCGGCCUGCUAAGUCGAACGUGAAAUCCCUGGGCUCAACCCAGGAACUGCGUCCGAUACUGGUUGGCUUGAAUCCGGGAGAGGGAUGUGGAAUUCCAGGUGUAGCGGUGAAAUGCGUAGAUAUCUGGAGGAACACCGGUGGCGAAGGCGGCAUCCUGGACCGGUAUUGACGCUGAGGCGCGAAAGCCAGGGGAGCAAACGGG